GGAGAGGUGGCCGAGUGGCUUAAGGCGCACGCUUGGAAAGCGUGUAUAUGGACAACAUAUCAGGGGUUCGAAUCCCUUUCUCUCCGCCG
RNAcentral lists this transfer RNA (89 nucleotides) under Flavobacteriales bacterium. RNAcentral's name for it is "tRNA-Ser". It matches the Rfam family "tRNA". From Rfam's summary of the family: Transfer RNA (tRNA) molecules are approximately 80 nucleotides in length. The record is from RNAcentral. Lineage: Bacteria; Pseudomonadati; Bacteroidota; Flavobacteriia; Flavobacteriales.